Molecule: long non-coding RNA, 461 nt
Filed under: Panax ginseng (ginseng)
Lineage: Eukaryota; Viridiplantae; Streptophyta; Magnoliopsida; Apiales; Araliaceae
Description: long non-coding RNA (PGIN_LNC002859)
Source: RNAcentral
UUGGAAUUUGAUGAUGAUGAUGAUGAUGAUCCUCAUAAUGUAAAUUUAAAAAAGAAAAAAGAAAAAAAAUGGUUACCUUCAAUUUUCUUGAUGGCCUUCAAAAUCUUUUUGAUGCAUUCGUCGCAGUGUAAUCCCACCUUCAAUUCUACCACCUAAUUCAAACAAAAACUAGUCACAGAAUUGAAGGAAAUUUAUGAAGAAAUUGAGGGAUAACAGUGUUGUAUAAAGAUAUACUUAACAUUAGCCAUCCGGUUGUAUUGAAUAAGUUUUGUUUCUACUAUCGAUCUGCUAAAAUCGAGUUUCUUUGUUAAAAAAAAAAAGAAGAGAAAGAGAGGCAGGAGAAAAAAGAUAUAUAUAAAUGAUUGCUCUGCCGAAUAAUUGAAAGCAUGCAUGCAUUUAAAGAUGAAAUGGUGGGGUGGGGUUUAUGAUUCUUAUCUUUUUUUAUUUUGUGGGAAUUUCAC